AGGAGCUCACCCUGGAGGCUGUUUCUUGGUUGUGAUUAAACAUUUCCUAGAAUGAGCAUUAAUAGUAGAAGAAAAAAUGGUGGAGUUCUGACUAUAAAAUAAAAAUCCAGACUAAGAAUUUUAUUUUUAGAAAACUUAGGAUUUACCCUGCUUCUACAAGUGUACACCUUCCUGACCUGGCGCUGGUGCCCCUUGACACAGACAUACACAAGCCUGCUAGGUACUUUGCAGUUUAGUGUCAAUAAUCAACACUCCGGAUGGUUGAAGGCUCUCAACAUCUUUUUGGAAUCAACUAUUUCACAAGACCAUGUGGAGGUUGGAAGACGGAGUUUGGCUACACUUGAAUCGCUGUGUAUAUGCUUAAUAAGUAAUGUCAUAAUUAAGCGUGUAUAACAGCAAUAAGCUGUGUUGUCUUUACUGAGAAUUGAGGAAUAUUGAUCCUUCAAGAAAGUGGUUCAUAUUCAAUUUCAAAGUAACCUGAAAUAAAUGAAAGAGUGCUGAAUUUCGAGGCUGCCUCAGGUACAUAUCCAUCAGAACACAUGGCCUACUUCACCCUAGUUUUUCUCUGAUUCUGCUAUCGUCAGUGGAGGAUGACAGGCACCUCACUGUUGCAUCUCUUUUAUACACUCCCAGCACAAUGGAAUGGAGAAGUCUGUGGCUGGAAAGCCGCUCCUGGGAUCAGUCAGUAUUCUACUGACUCAACUAUCAUAAUCCAUUGAAACUGAGAAAUGAGUGACACUGGCACUUUCAUGGAAACUAUGGUUGAGUGAUGCAGAAUAU
Molecule: long non-coding RNA, 780 nt
Filed under: Mus pahari (shrew mouse)
Lineage: Eukaryota; Metazoa; Chordata; Mammalia; Rodentia; Muridae
Description: lncRNA (MGP_PahariEiJ_G0002483.1)
Source: RNAcentral